CCUACGGGAGGCAGCAGUAGGGAAUUUUCCACAAUGGGCGAAAGCCUGAUGGAGCAAUACCGCGUGCAGGAUGAAGGCCUUCGGGUCGUAAACUGCUUUUAUGUGCGAAGAAUUUGACGGUAACACAUGAAUAAGGAUCGGCUAACUACGUGCCAGCAGCCGCGGUCAUACGUAGGAUCCAAGCGUUAUCCGGAAUUACUGGGCGUAAAGAGUUGCGUAGGUGGCAUUAUAAGUGGAGCGUGAAAGCGUGCGGCUCAACCGCAUUAUUGCGUUCCAAACUGUGAAGCUUGAGUAUGGGAGAGGUAGAUGGAAUUUCUAGUGUAGGAGUGAAAUCCGUAGAUAUUAGAAGGAACACCGAUGGCGUAGGCAGUCUACUGGCCCAUUACUGACACUAAGGCACGAAAGCGUGGGGAGCAAACGGGAUUAGAUACCCCGGUAGUCCACGCUGUAAACUAUGGAUGCUAGCUGUGACACACAUCAACCUGUGUCGUAGCGAAGUUAACGCGUUAAGCAUCCCGCCUGGGGAGUACGGUCGCAAGAUUAAAACUUAAAUGAAUUGACGG
Molecule: ribosomal RNA, 563 nt
Filed under: uncultured bacterium
Lineage: Bacteria
Description: bacterial SSU rRNA
Rfam family: Bacterial small subunit ribosomal RNA
Source: RNAcentral